Molecule: transfer RNA, 72 nt
Filed under: Trimma okinawae (Okinawa rubble goby)
Lineage: Eukaryota; Metazoa; Chordata; Actinopteri; Gobiiformes; Gobiidae
Description: tRNA-Phe
Rfam family: tRNA
About the family: Transfer RNA (tRNA) molecules are approximately 80 nucleotides in length. Their secondary structure includes four short double-helical elements and three loops (D, anti-codon, and T loops).
Source: RNAcentral
GUUUUUGUAGCUUAAAUUAUGAAAGCGUAACACUGAAGAUGUUAGGAUAGGCCCUACUAAGCCUCAUAGACA